AAUAGCCAAACCAUAGACCCUCUUAUUAUACCAAGGGAAACAUGAUAGACAUUUAGGGAAAUUUUAGUACAAUCACAUGUUCAGUGCAUCCAAUUAUAUAAAAAAACAAUAGCACCUUAUAAUCACAUUUGGAAAAUCUAAGAAAACAAAGCACUCAAUGAUGGUCAAGUUAGUGUCAACAAUCAUAUCCUAACCUAUCAGCAUACAUGGGAUUGAGUUAAUUGGCUAACCACAUAAUACUGAAUACCAUAUACCUAGUGACAGAACCAGCAACCCCUGCCACCUUGAAGUGAAUGCCCUUAGCAUUUGUUUAACCUACAAACAGGAAUCUUCAAUAAUGAUAUACUAACAAGACUAUCACUAUUACUAUAUCCGUGGCAUGACAGAAGAUAGAGAGCAACCUCAAGAGCAAUUAGUUUAUCUGGUCUGGAAAUGCUUGUAAGUGGCAU
RNAcentral lists this unclassified non-coding RNA (449 nucleotides) under Hevea brasiliensis (rubber tree). The record is from RNAcentral. Lineage: Eukaryota; Viridiplantae; Streptophyta; Magnoliopsida; Malpighiales; Euphorbiaceae.